RNAcentral lists this ribosomal RNA (253 nucleotides) under uncultured bacterium. RNAcentral's name for it is "partial 16S ribosomal RNA". It matches the Rfam family "Bacterial small subunit ribosomal RNA", at positions 524 to 776 of the family's 1533-position model. The record is from RNAcentral.
UACGUAGGGUGCGAGCGUUAAUCGGAAUUACUGGGCGUAAAGCGUGCGCAGGCGGUUAUGUAAGACAGGUGUGAAAUCCCCGGGCUUAACCUGGGAACUGCAUUUGUGACUGGAUUGCUAGAGUUUGGGAGAGGGAUGCGGAAUUCCAGGUGUAGCGGUGAAAUGCGUAGAUAUCUGGAGGAACACCGGUGGCGAAGGCGGCAUCCUGGACCAACACUGACGCUGAGGAGCGAAAGCCAGGGGAGCAAACGGG